Pristis pectinata (smalltooth sawfish) is the source of this 920-nucleotide long non-coding RNA. RefSeq lists it as uncharacterized. The transcript has 3 exons. The record is from RefSeq and is a predicted model, not a curated record. NCBI's taxonomy places the organism in Eukaryota, Metazoa, Chordata, Chondrichthyes, Rhinopristiformes, Pristidae.
UUACGUGGAAUUGAUCUGAACAAUUUAAGCGUAUGAUUUUCAUCUUUUCAGGGCUGCGAAAGAGUUUACAGAUGUAACACAGAUCUCAUUUAAAUCUCUGAUCUCCAGGUGCAGACGCUGAAUAGUCUGUGCCAGAGCCCCAACAGCAUGUUUUCCUUUCCAGCAGAUUUUCCUUGGACCACUCUCAAACCGAGUCUCGUGGUUUUGUUUACACUGAAUGGAGAGUAUAGCAGCGGUGCCAUGGGGCCGUCUUUCAUUAAUAUACAGUGAGGAUUUUGUCUAAAUUACUGCUACGAAUUUCACAGUACACGCAUUUAAAGAUGUCUCAGGUGGACUGAUGAAACGCGAAUGUGCCGCCGAAAAGAGCUGCGUUAAAAAAAAACUUAAAGGUCAAUGACAAUGAUGGGAAAGACCUAAAAUGUAUUUUGUCUUUAAGAAAACAUCCAUAAAUUGUUUCCCCACCAAGAAAAAAGUAAAACAUCAGAGAGCAAUUUGUACUGAUUUACAUUUGCAUAAAUUUUCAUAUAUUUUGGUGAAAAUAAUAGACUAGCGAGAGUCGGGCUCAGUGAAGCCAGUAUAAGGGCACAUCCUUGCGAGGAUCGACCAGGAACAAUUCGGAGCGAGAGUAAAAAGCAAAGUCAGUAAUCCAAAUAUGCGAAACUUUUCUACACUAUUUACGAGUUGAAAGCGACAAUCCCAUUGUGUUGAGACCUAGGAACAACUCUGCAUCUGAUGCACCUGCCAUCCACUGCAGUUGCCCACAGAGAAAUGGCUUAUAUAGGCACCAAAAGUGAUGUAAGGCACUUCUUUGGCAAUAUGGAAAGUGUGAGAGGUGGAACUCUUCCAAUGCUGCAUUAUAAGCCAAUCAGUAGAACUUUGUGGGAACGGUAGAGAUUGACAUUCCUACAAGUUUCCUGAAU